AGUGAACGCUGGCGGUAGGCCUAACACAUGCAAGUCGAACGGCAGCACAGUAAGAGCUUGCUCUUACGGGUGGCGAGUGGCGGACGGGUGAGGAAUACAUCGGAAUCUACUUUUUCAUGGGGGAUAACGUAGGGAAACUUACGCUAAUACCGCAUACGACCUACGGGUGAAAGCAGGGGAUCUUCGGACCUUGCGCGAUUGAAUGAGCCGAUGUCGGAUUAGCUAGUUGGCGGGGUAAAGGCCCACCAAGGCGACGAUCCGUAGCUGGUCUGAGAGGAUGAUCAGCCACACUGGAACUGAGACACGGUCCAGACUCCUACGGGAGGCAGCAGUGGGGAAUAUUGGGCAACGGGCGCAAGCCUGAUCCAGCCAUACCGCGUGGGUGAAGUAGGCCUUCGGGUUGUAAAGCCCUUUUGUUGGGAAAGAAAAGCAGCAGGUUAAUACCCCGCUGUUCUGACGGUACCCAAAGAAUAAGCACCGGCUAACUUCGUG
This 492-nucleotide ribosomal RNA is filed under the name uncultured bacterium. Its description in RNAcentral is "partial 16S ribosomal RNA". It matches the Rfam family "Bacterial small subunit ribosomal RNA", at positions 29 to 507 of the family's 1533-position model. The record is from RNAcentral.